GGUUGAUCCUGCCAGUAGUCAUAUGCUUGUUUCAAAGAUUAAGCCAUGCAAGUCUAAGUAUAAGCUACUUUAUACGGCAAAACUGCGAAUAGCUCAUUAAAACAGUUAUAAUCUACACGACGAUCAUUACCAAAUGGAUAUCCAUGGUAAUUCUGGAGCUAAUACAUGCUAAAACACUCGACUUCUCGGAAGGGUGGCAUUCAUUAGUUCUCAGACCCAGCCGCGAGGCAACUCGUGUUCUUGGUGAUCAUAAUGACGGAGCGGAUCGCAAUUUUUGCGACAGUUCGUUCGAG
This 293-nucleotide ribosomal RNA is filed under the name uncultured eukaryote. RNAcentral describes it as "partial 18S ribosomal RNA". It matches the Rfam family "Eukaryotic small subunit ribosomal RNA", at positions 6 to 303 of the family's 1831-position model. The record is from RNAcentral.